Molecule: ribosomal RNA, 426 nt
Filed under: uncultured Alphaproteobacteria bacterium
Lineage: Bacteria; Pseudomonadati; Pseudomonadota; Alphaproteobacteria
Description: bacterial SSU rRNA
Rfam family: Bacterial small subunit ribosomal RNA
Source: RNAcentral
GCUUGCUGCAUGCUUUAUACAUGCAAGUCGAACGGAGGCCCUAGCUUGCUAGGUGUCCUUAGUGGCGCACGGGUGAGUAACACGUGGGAACAUACCUCAUAGUACGGAAUAACUGCGGGAAACUGUAGCUAAUACCGUAUAUUCCAGUAAUGGGAAAGAUUUAUCGCUAUGAGAUUGGCCCGCGCAAGAUUAGUUUGUUGGUAAGGUAAUGGCUUACCAAGGCUACGAUCUUUAGCUGGUUUGAGAGGAUGAUCAGCCACACUGGGACUGAGACACGGCCCAGACUCCUACGGGAGGCAGCAGUAGGGAAUAUUGGACAAUGGGGGCAACCCUGAUCCAGCAAUGCAGCGUGAGUGACGAAGGCCUUAGGGUUGUAAAACUCUUUCAUCGGUGAGGAUAAUGACAGUAGCCGAAGAAGAAGGACCG